RNAcentral lists this ribosomal RNA (292 nucleotides) under uncultured bacterium. RNAcentral describes it as "partial 16S ribosomal RNA". It matches the Rfam family "Archaeal small subunit ribosomal RNA", at positions 455 to 747 of the family's 1478-position model. The record is from RNAcentral.
GUGUCAGCCGCCGCGGUAAAACCAGCACCUCGAGUGGUCAGGACGUUUAUUGGGCCUAAAGCAUCCGUAGCCGGUUGUUUAAGUUUUCGGUUAAAUCUAUGCGCUCAACGUAUAGGCCGCCGAAAAUACUGGACAGCUAGGGAGUGGGAGAGGUACACGGUACUCGAUAGGAAGGGGUAAAAUCCUUUGAUCUAUCGAUGACCACCUGUGGCGAAGGCGGUGUACCAGAACACGUUCGACGGUGAGGGAUGAAAGCUGGGGGAGCAAACCGGAUUAGAUACCCCGGUAGUCC